Panthera uncia (snow leopard) is the source of this 794-nucleotide long non-coding RNA. RefSeq lists it as uncharacterized. The record is from RefSeq and is a predicted model, not a curated record. The transcript has 3 exons. NCBI's taxonomy places the organism in Eukaryota, Metazoa, Chordata, Mammalia, Carnivora, Felidae.
UCACGGUGCCACUGGCUUUCUGUCACGCUCCCCAUUUCUGUCCCAAGGGUUACAAGUAAACUGCCACCCGAGGUUGCUAAAUUUGUUCACUCUUUUUUACAGUUUCCUCUACUGAGGUCACGUUGGCAGCUGUUUCCCUAUUUAGGAACUUAAAUGCAAUCCUCCGGUGGGUAUCCUGGGAAGCUAUUCUGUGCGGCACCACGCCGCCACCGGUGACUCCUCUUCCUCCCUCCACCUGCUCUGUGCUCUACAGACAACAGUCCCUGACUGCUUCUGGCCCCAGGUAGGCCUGCCUUUCAGUUCACCUGACUCUCCUGCCGGGAGUCACGGACAAACACCUCAUUCCCUCCUCGCUGGGAACUGGAUGCAAAUAUGGACAGGUGUGAACCCUCGAUGUGAACUUGAGCCCGUUGGAAGGUACGUUUCUAAGGCGCAAGCCCAUUCUGAAGGAUCAUCCAGGACACGUCUUCCCUGGAGAGCCCCACGGUAGCAGACACUUGCCUCCUGAAGGGUUGAAGACAGCCCUCCUGGCGACAGAGAACGGACCGUGGUGAAAGAUAAUUGCCUAGGAGCCUGGGCAGCUUUAGAUAAAUUUGCUAUCGCCGCAGUGGAAAACUUGGCUUUAAAUGAGCCCUCUUUUCCACCUACAGAAUCCCUAGGCAGUAAAGACCAUGAACCUAGAAGGUACAUCCCGACAUGUGUUAAAUAAAUGCAUGCGCUAAUAAAUAAUGUUCAAUAGUGUGCAUGAGUAACCCCCCGGAGGUACCUUAAAAAUAAACAUUUUCAUGGGGAAA